AUACUGCGCGAGCUGAUGCAGCGACGCCGCGUGAGGGAUGACGGCCUUCGGGUUGUAAACCUCUUUCAGCAGGGACGAAGCGCAAGUGACGGUACCUGCAGAAGAAGCACCGGCUAACUACGUGCCAGCAGCCGCGGUAAUACGUAGGGUGCAAGCGUUGUCCGGAAUUACUGGGCGUAAAGAGUUCGUAGGCGGUUUGUCGCGUCGUUUGUGAAAACCAGCAGCUCAACUGCUGGCUUGCAGGCGAUACGGGCAGACUUGAGUACUGCAGGGGAGACUGGAAUUCCUGGUGUAGCGGUGAAAUGCGCAGAUAUCAGGAGGAACACCGGUGGCGAAGGCGGGUCUCUGGGCAGUAACUGACGCUGAGGAACGAAAGCGUGGGUAGCGAACAGGAUUAGAUACCCUGGUAGUCCACGCCGUAAACGGUGGGCGCUAGGUGUGGGUUCCUUCCACGGAAUCCGUGCCGUAGCUAACGCAUUAAGCGCCCCGCCUGGGGAGUACGGCCGCAAGGCUAAAAUAAGGCCCAUGUGAGGGUCCUCAGG
This 542-nucleotide ribosomal RNA is filed under the name Rhodococcus sp. ATCC 21145. RNAcentral describes it as "bacterial SSU rRNA". It matches the Rfam family "Bacterial small subunit ribosomal RNA", at positions 368 to 927 of the family's 1533-position model. Lineage: Bacteria; Bacillati; Actinomycetota; Actinomycetes; Mycobacteriales; Nocardiaceae. The record is from RNAcentral.